RNAcentral lists this ribosomal RNA (465 nucleotides) under uncultured bacterium. RNAcentral describes it as "partial 16S ribosomal RNA". It matches the Rfam family "Bacterial small subunit ribosomal RNA", at positions 338 to 795 of the family's 1533-position model. The record is from RNAcentral.
CCUACGGGAGGCAGCAGUAGGGAAUCUUCCACAAUGGGCGCAAGCCUGAUGGAGCAACACCGCGUGAGUGAAGAAGGGUUUAGGCUCGUAAAGCUCUGUUGUUGGAGAAGAACGUGCGUGAGAGUAACUGUUCAUGCAGUGACGGUAUCCAACAAGAAAGUCACGGCCAACUACGUGCCAGCCGCCGCGGUAAAACGUAGGUGGCAAGCGUUAUCCGGUUUGAUUGGGCGUAAAGGGAGCGCAGGCGGUUGCUUAGGUCUGAUGUGAAAGCCUUCGGCUUAACCGAGGAAGUGCAUCGGAAACUGUGCGACUUGAGUGCGGAAGAGGACAGUGGAACGCGAUGUGUAGCGGUGGAAUGCGUAGAUAUAGGGAAGAACACCGGUGGCGAAGGCGGCUGUCUGGUCUGCAACUGACGCUGAGGCACGAAAGCAUGGGUAUCGAACAGGAUUAGAUACCCUUGUAGUC